UCCUACGGCCAUACCACCCUGAACAAGCCCGAUCCCAUCUGAUCUCGGAAGCUAAGCAGGGUAGGGCCUGGUUAGUAUUUGGAUGGGAGACCACCCAGGAAGACCAGGUGUUAUAGCCA
This 119-nucleotide ribosomal RNA is filed under the name Pteropus alecto (black flying fox). Lineage: Eukaryota; Metazoa; Chordata; Mammalia; Chiroptera; Pteropodidae. The record is from RNAcentral.